AUUGAACGCUGGCGGCAUGCUUUACACAUGCAAGUCGAACGGUAGAGGGGGCAACCCCUUGAGAGUGGCGAACGGGUGAGUAAUGCAUCGGAACGUGCCCAGUCGUGGGGGAUAACGCAGCGAAAGCUGUGCUAAUACCGCAUACGAUCUCUGGAUGAAAGCGGGGGACCGAAAGGCCUCGCGCGAUUGGAGCGGCCGAUGUCAGAUUAGGUAGUUGGUGGGGUAAAGGCGCACCAAGCCAACGAUCUGUAGCUGGUCUGAGAGGACGACCAGCCACACUGGGACUGAGACACGGCCCAGACUCCUACGGGAGGCAGCAGUGGGGAAUUUUGGAGAAUGGGCGCAAGCGUGAUCCAGCAAUGCCGCGUGCAGGAAGAAGGCCUUCGGGUUGUAAACUGCUUUGGUACGGAGCGAAACGGUCCUCUCUAAUACAGGGGGCUAAUGACGGUACCGUAAGAAUAAGCACCGGCUAACUACGUGCCAGCCGCCGCGGUAA
This 496-nucleotide ribosomal RNA is filed under the name uncultured bacterium. RNAcentral describes it as "partial 16S ribosomal RNA". It matches the Rfam family "Bacterial small subunit ribosomal RNA", at positions 29 to 523 of the family's 1533-position model. The record is from RNAcentral.